Long non-coding RNA from Suricata suricatta (meerkat), 463 nucleotides. RefSeq lists it as uncharacterized. Lineage: Eukaryota; Metazoa; Chordata; Mammalia; Carnivora; Herpestidae. The record is from RefSeq and is a predicted model, not a curated record. The transcript is spliced from 3 exons.
AAAAGAGUUGGCCUUAACCGAAACUCUUCCAAACAAAACAAUGCUUUGGCACUUUUCAUCAAUCAACUAGAAACACAAAAUAUGAAAUUGGAACUAAGAGGCCCACUUCCAUCCAGUUCAGACAGGUCAAGCUCUUCCUACUGGGCCUGCACGAAUCUUCAUAGGAUCACCAGCUGCCUGGGCACCAAAAAAUUAUGCUUCCGAAAUCCCUUGAUGUCAAUUCCACACGAAGAGCAAUUGAGCUGCUCUACAUGUGCCACUCACGACAGAAGCCCUUUUUAUAAGCAUUUGACUCUUAGACUCUUAACAUCAGCUGAGGUCAUGAUCUCACUGUCAUGGGAUUGAGCCUCUUCUUGGCUCUGCACAUGGAGUGAGGAGACUGCUCAGAAGUCUCUCUCUCCCUCUGUCUCUACCCCUCCCCCACUCUCAUGCUCUCUCUCUCUCUCUCUCUCUCUCUCUCGCU